GCUGGCGGCGUGCUUAACACAUGCAAGUCGAACGGAAAGGCCCUGCUUUUGUGGGGUGCUCGAGUGGCGAACGGGUGAGUAACACGUGAGUAACCUGCCCUUGACUUUGGGAUAACUUCAGGAAACUGGGGCUAAUACCGGAUAGGAGCUCCUGCUGCAUGGUGGGGGUUGGAAAGUUUCGGCGGUUGGGGAUGGACUCGCGGCUUAUCAGCUUGUUGGUGGGGUAGUGGCUUACCAAGGCUUUGACGGGUAGCCGGCCUGAGAGGGUGACCGGCCACAUUGGGACUGAGAUACGGCCCAGACUCCUACGGGAGGCAGCAGUGGGGAAUAUUGCACAAUGGGCGGAAGCCUGAUGCAGCAACGCCGCGUGCGGGAUGACGGCCUUCGGGUUGUAAACCGCUUUCGCCUGUGACGAAGCGUGAGUGACGGUAAUGGGUAAAGAAGCACCGGCUAACUACGUGCCAGCAGCCGCGGUGAUACGUAGGGUGCGAGCGUUGUCCGGAUUUAUUGGGCGUAAAGGGCUCGUAGGUGGUUGAUCGCGUCGGAAGUGUAAUCUUGGGGCUUAACCCUGAGCGUGCUUUCGAUACGGGUUGACUUGAGGAAGGUAGGGGAGAAUGGAAUUCCUGGUGGAGCUGUGGAAUGCGCAGAUAUCAGGAGGAACACCAGUGGCGAAGGCGGUUCUCUGGGCCUUUCCUGACGCUGAGGAGCGAAAGCGUGGGGAGCGAACAGGCUUAGAUACCCUGGUAGUCCACGCUGUAAACGGUGGGUACUAGGUGUGGGGUCCAUUCCACGGGUUCCGUGCCGUAGCUAACGCUUUAAGUACCCCGCCUGGGGAGUACGGCCGCAAGGCUAAAACUCAAAGGAAUUGACGGGGCCCCGCACAAGCGGCGGAGCAUGCGGAUUAAUUCGAUGCAACGCGUAGAACCUUACCUGGGUUUGACAUGGAUCGGGAGUGCUCAGAGAUGGGUGUGCCUCUUUUGGGGUCGGUUCACAGGUGGUGCAUGGCUGUCGUCAGCUCGUGUCGUGAGAUGUUGGGUUAAGUCCCGCAACGAGCGCAACCCUUGUUCACUGUUGCCAGCACGUUAUGGUGGGGACUCAGUGGAGACCGCCGGGGUCAACUCGGAGGAAGGUGGGGAUGACGUCAAGUCAUCAUGCCCCUUAUGUCCAGGGCUUCACGCAUGCUACAAUGGCUGGUACAGAGAGUGGCGAGCCUGUGAGGGUGAGCGAAUCUCGGAAAGCCGGUCUCAGUUCGGAUUGGGGUCUGCAACUCGACCUCAUGAAGUCGGAGUCGCUAGUAAUCGCAGAUCAGCAACGCUGCGGUGAAUACGUUCCCGGGGCUUGUACACACCGCCCGUCAAGUCAUGAAAGUUGGUAACACCCGAAGCCGGAGGCCUAACCGUUGUGGGGGAGCCGUCGAAGGUGGGACUGGA
This 1430-nucleotide ribosomal RNA is filed under the name uncultured organism. RNAcentral describes it as "partial small subunit ribosomal RNA". It matches the Rfam family "Bacterial small subunit ribosomal RNA". The record is from RNAcentral.